UUCUAAUGUCUGAUGGGUUCAUUGUCAUGAUCAUGUAAUCAGUCAUGUUCACAGUGAGGUCCUAUGAGCAAGCUUUACAGUACAGGCUUCCUGACACUCCCUCUAACACUGUCACUAUCCACCACCCUGAAGGAAACAUGCUACUACAACAGCCAAUCUCCUUUCACCUCAGAGCUUCCUCCAGGAGACACUCAUAUCACAUCAUCAUCGUCUUCCUCAGCAUAUUCAUCAUCUUCAUCAUUAUCUUUUUCUUCAUCAUGAUGUUCAGAGUUCUGAUUCACCUGGCAGCUCUACCACUCUGGGUGACAGGGCAGGUGUUUAGUAGCAUGGUUCAUCAGAGGCCUGUGGCACUAACAGAAGGUCCUGGAGGAGACGUUCAACUCACCUGCAGCCAUACGAUCUCUAACUACUACGUGAUACUAUGGUACAAACAGUCAGCAGGAGACACUGCUAUGAAACUCAUUGGUUAUGCAUAUACCAAGUUAAUAACCAUGGAGAAAUCAUUUGAAAAGCACUUCAAUGUGAGUGGAGAUGGUGGGAAAGAGGCUUAUCUUCAUCUAUUGAGUCUGAGAGGACCUGAACACUGUGCAGUUUAUUACUGUGCAGCCAGCCAACACAGUGAUGUAGACUUCCUCCUGUUCUCUACUAAAACCCUGUCUGAUGGUAAUAUUAGACCACGGCUCAGAACACCUGCAUCUGAGGUUUGACUUUGACUCAAUGCCAAUGAAUAAACACAGAUGGAUGAUGGCAUAAGGUGAUAUCUGUCCUAGUACAGUAUACCAGUAUUUACAGUUUACUGUCACCACUCAUUAACAUACAUUAUGCAAUGUUACAAUGUCAUAUUCCAUUACUCCAUUUCUAUCUCUCCCCUCUCUCUCUCUCUCUCUCUCUCUCUCUCUCUCUCUCUCUCUCUCUCUCUCUAUCUCUCCCCUCUCUCUCUCUCUAUCUCUCCCCUCUCUCUCUAUCUCUCCCCUCUCGCUCAAUUCAAUUCAAU
This 994-nucleotide long non-coding RNA is filed under the name Oncorhynchus kisutch (coho salmon). RNAcentral's name for it is "lncRNA (ENSOKIG00005024081.1)". Lineage: Eukaryota; Metazoa; Chordata; Actinopteri; Salmoniformes; Salmonidae. The record is from RNAcentral.